RNAcentral lists this ribosomal RNA (551 nucleotides) under uncultured Acidobacteriota bacterium. RNAcentral describes it as "bacterial SSU rRNA". It matches the Rfam family "Bacterial small subunit ribosomal RNA", at positions 355 to 897 of the family's 1533-position model. Lineage: Bacteria; Pseudomonadati; Acidobacteriota. The record is from RNAcentral.
UGGGGAAUUGUUCACAAUGGGCGCAAGCCUGAUGACGCAACGCCGCGUGGGGGAUGAAGGUCUUCGGAUUGUAAACCCCUGUCGAGCGGGACGAACGGCUCACGAGCUAAUCAUCGUGAGAGUGACGGUACCGCUAAAGGAAGCCACGGCUAACUCUGUGCCAGCAGCCGCGGUAAUACAGAGGUGGCAAGCGUUGUUCGGAAUUACUGGGCGUAAAGGGCGUGUAGGCGGCUUUUUAAGUCAGACGUGAAAUCCCCCGGCUUAACCUGGGAACUGCGUCUGAUACUGGGAAGCUAGAGUUCGGGAGAGGGAUGUAGAAUUCCAGGUGUAGCGGUGAAAUGCGUAGAUAUCUGGAGGAAUACCGGUGGCGAAGGCGGCAUCCUGGACCGAAACUGACGCUUAAGCGCGAAAGCUAGGGGAGCAAACGGGAUUAGAUACCCCGGUAGUCCUAGCCCUAAACGAUGAAUGCUUGGUGUGGCGGGUAUCGAUCCCUGCCGUGCCGAAGCUAACGCAUUAAGCAUUCCGCCUGGGGAGUACGGUCGCAAGGCUGA